GAUCAUGGCUCAGGAUGAACGCUAGCUACAGGCUUAACACAUGCAAGUCGAGGGGCAGCAUGACCUAGCAAUAGGUUGAUGGCGACCGGCGCACGGGUGGGUAACACGUAUCCAACCUACCGGUUAUUCCGGGAUAGCCUUUCGAAAGAAAGAUUAAUACCGGAUAGUAUAACGAGAAGGCAUCUUCUUGCUAUUAAAGAAUUUCGAUAACCGAUGGGGAUGCGUUCCAUUAGUUUGUUGGCGGGGUAACGGCCC
RNAcentral lists this ribosomal RNA (255 nucleotides) under uncultured bacterium. RNAcentral's name for it is "partial 16S ribosomal RNA". It matches the Rfam family "Bacterial small subunit ribosomal RNA", at positions 15 to 266 of the family's 1533-position model. The record is from RNAcentral.